Molecule: ribosomal RNA, 253 nt
Filed under: uncultured bacterium
Lineage: Bacteria
Description: partial 16S ribosomal RNA
Rfam family: Bacterial small subunit ribosomal RNA
Source: RNAcentral
UACGGAGGGGGCUAGCGUUGUUCGGAAUUACUGGGCGUAAAGCGUCCGUAGGCGGCUUUGUAAGUCAGAGGUGAAAGCCCACGACUCAAUCGUGGAACUGCCUUUGAGACUGCAUCGCUUGAAGAUGGGAGAGGUUAGUGGAAUUCCGAGUGUAGAGGUGAAAUUCGUAGAUAUUCGGAAGAACACCAGUGGCGAAGGCGGCUAACUGGACCAUUCCUGACGCUGAGGGACGAAAGCGUGGGGAGCAAACAGG